Molecule: ribosomal RNA, 447 nt
Filed under: uncultured bacterium
Lineage: Bacteria
Description: partial 16S ribosomal RNA
Rfam family: Bacterial small subunit ribosomal RNA
Source: RNAcentral
CCAGACUCCUACGGGAGGCAGCAGUGGGGAAUAUUGCACAAUGGGGGAAACCCUGAUGCAGCGACGCCGCGUGGGCGACGAAGCGCUCCGGCGCGUAAAGCCCUGUCAGCAGGGAAGAACAAAGACGGUACCUGACUAAGAAGCCCCGGCUAACUACGUGCCAGCAGCCGCGGUAAUACGUAGGGGGCGAGCGUUAUCCGGAUUCACUGGGUGUAAAGGGAGCGUAGACGGCCAAGCAAGCCAGGGGUGAAAGCCCGGGGCCCAACCCCGGGACUGCCCUUGGAACUGCAUGGCUGGAGUGCGGGAGGGGCAGGCGGAAUUCCUGGUGUAGCGGUGAAAUGCGUAGAUAUCAGGAGGAACACCGGCGGCGAAGGCGGCCUGCUGGACCGCGACUGACGUUGAGGCUCGAAAGCGUGGGGAGCGAACAGGAUUAGAUACCCUCGUAAA